GACGAACGCUGGCGGCGUGCUUAACACAUGCAAGUCAAACGGAAAGGCCCUGCUUUUGUGGGGUGCUCGAGUGGCGAACGGGUGAGUAACACGUGAGUAACCUGCCCUUGACUUUGGGAUAACUUCAGGAAACUGGGGCUAAUACCGGAUAGGAGCUCCUGCUGCAUGGUGGGGGUUGGAAAGUUUCGGCGGUUGGGGAUGGACUCGCGGCUUAUCAGCUUGUUGGUGGGGUAGUGGCUUACCAAGGCUUUGACGGGUAGCCGGCCUGAGAGGGUGACCGGCCACAUUGGGACUGAGAUACGGCCCAGACUCCUACGGGAGGCAGCAGUGGGGAAUAUUGCACAAUGGGAGGAAGCCUGAUGCAGCAACGCCGCGUGCGGGAUGACGGCCUUCGGGUUGUAAACCGCUUUCGCCUGUGACGAAGCGUGAGUGACGGUAAUGGGUAAAGAAGCACCGGCUAACUACGUG
This 468-nucleotide ribosomal RNA is filed under the name uncultured bacterium. RNAcentral's name for it is "partial 16S ribosomal RNA". It matches the Rfam family "Bacterial small subunit ribosomal RNA", at positions 28 to 507 of the family's 1533-position model. The record is from RNAcentral.